RNAcentral lists this ribosomal RNA (253 nucleotides) under uncultured bacterium. Its description in RNAcentral is "partial 16S ribosomal RNA". It matches the Rfam family "Bacterial small subunit ribosomal RNA", at positions 524 to 776 of the family's 1533-position model. The record is from RNAcentral.
UACAGAGGGUGCGAGCGUUAAUCGGAAUUACUGGGCGUAAAGCGUGCGUAGACGGUUAUGUAAGUCGGGUGUGAAAGCCCCGGGCUCAACCUGGGAAUUGCAUUCGAGACUGCAUAGCUAGGGUGCGGAAGAGGGAAGCGGAAUUUCCGGUGUAGCGGUGAAAUGCGUAGAUAUCGGAAGGAACACCAGUGGCGAAAGCGGCUUCCUGGUCCAGCACCGACGUUCAGGCACGAAAGCGUGGGGAGCGAACAGG